CACGUAGGGCGCAAGCGUUGUCCGGAAUUAUUGGGCGUAAAGAGCUCGUAGGCGGUCUGUUGCGUCCGCUGUGAAAACCCGGGGCUUAACCCUGGGCUGGCAGUGGAUACGGACAGACUAGAGGUAGGUAGGGGAGAAUGGAAUUCCCGGUGUAGCGGUGAAAUGCGCAGAUAUUAGGAAGAACACCGGUGGCGAAGGCGGCUCUCUGGAACGGUACUGACGCUGAGACGCGAAAGCGUGGGGAGCAAACAGG
RNAcentral lists this ribosomal RNA (253 nucleotides) under uncultured bacterium. Its description in RNAcentral is "partial 16S ribosomal RNA". It matches the Rfam family "Bacterial small subunit ribosomal RNA", at positions 524 to 776 of the family's 1533-position model. The record is from RNAcentral.